CUGAGAUAUUCUCUGCCAUAAGCUUCUAAGAACUGUGCAUUAAUACUUGUUAUUAGGUAAAGAUCUAAUAAUAUCAUUAAUACUGAAAUAUAAGUGAUUAACAAAAUGUUAUCUUCCACAGGGAUAUUUGCAUUUUAUCAGGCAAACAAAGCCUUAAGCCAAAGAAAUCAGUUUUUCUCACAGAUAUUUUAGUGCAGUCUUCCCUCUGAACUUCUGUCACAUGUGGGAUCCAAUGCUGGACAAGAUCAUGGAGUGACUACUAUUUUUCAUGUUCCCAAAUGCACUUUUGUAAACUACAAAAUAUUAAACAAAAGUGAAUACUCAUUAUCUCUGUGAUCAUAUGAUCAUCUCAAAUUUCUCUGGAGCCAGGAGAAACUGACAGUGGAUAAUCAGAUCAUUGGUGAAGUGGAUUAUAAAAAUGGAUGUUACUUACUGAGGUGUUCCUGAAGUACUCUGUGGCCAUUCUAUGCACUGAGCAACAUGGACUGAGGGACCUCUGGAUAUUCCCAAGUGCCACUGUAUUGAUUAGAAAAUCACCAAUCUGCAUAUGCACACCAUCUGUGCUGUGGAGAAGCAAAAAAUGCAGGAUGACAUUUGCCUUAUUCGAAGGAAGAUUCAGAAACCACUAAUAGAACGAAGAGGGAAUUCUCUUUUGCAAGGAAGGAAUUUGGCUUUUUAAAAUAAAAAGAAAAGUACAUAAG
RNAcentral lists this long non-coding RNA (701 nucleotides) under Canis lupus familiaris (dog). Its description in RNAcentral is "lncRNA (ENSCAFG00845014351.1)". The record is from RNAcentral. Lineage: Eukaryota; Metazoa; Chordata; Mammalia; Carnivora; Canidae.